AAAGAAACUGUUAGCACUGAAGAACUCUAGUUGGAUUAAAUGAGCUUCCAGAAUGGAGAGAAAAACUUUAGCAGAGUAUGAAAUAAGUCAAGGGAUCUUAACAACUAACUCCAGGGAAGCCACAGUUAAAGAUCAAUGACACUUUUUGCAUGAGGAGGAAGAGGUGCUGGGCACCCAGCGGAGCGGGGCUGGUGCUGUCUCUGGAAGAUCAAAGAGCCGGGCUGUCUCCCGAAGCCUCCUCUUCCUUCUGUUAUUGCAAGGACCUGGAUGAGGCCACAGGACACCUCACUACUGCAAGGCCUUUCGGUGGGUAUAAAGAUGGUAUGACUUUUGGAUCAAAAGGAAACGCUGACAUAUUCGUGUUUAAUG
This is a long non-coding RNA of Ailuropoda melanoleuca (giant panda), 369 nucleotides long. RefSeq lists it as uncharacterized. Lineage: Eukaryota; Metazoa; Chordata; Mammalia; Carnivora; Ursidae. The transcript is spliced from 3 exons. The record is from RefSeq and is a predicted model, not a curated record.